UACGGGGGGGGCGAGCGUUGUUCGGAAUUACUGGGCGUAAAGGGUUUGUAGGUGGUCUGCUAAGUCAGACGUGAAAUCCCUCAGCUUAACUGGGGAACUGCGUCUGAUACUGGCGGACUUGAGGACAGGAGAGGAACGCGGAAUUCCAGGUGUAGCGGUGAAAUGCGUAGAUAUCGAGAGGAACACCUGCGGCGAAGGCGGGUUGCUGGGCUGACACUGACGCUGAUGCGCGAAAGCCAGGGGAGCGAACGGG
This 253-nucleotide ribosomal RNA is filed under the name uncultured prokaryote. RNAcentral's name for it is "partial 16S ribosomal RNA". It matches the Rfam family "Bacterial small subunit ribosomal RNA", at positions 524 to 776 of the family's 1533-position model. The record is from RNAcentral.